RNAcentral lists this ribosomal RNA (253 nucleotides) under uncultured bacterium. RNAcentral describes it as "partial 16S ribosomal RNA". It matches the Rfam family "Bacterial small subunit ribosomal RNA", at positions 524 to 776 of the family's 1533-position model. The record is from RNAcentral.
UACGAAGGGUGCUAGCGUUGCUCGGAAUUACUGGGCGUAAAGGGCGCGUAGGCGGCUAUUUAAGUCGGGGGUGAAAGCCCAGGGCUCAACCCUGGAACAGCCUUCGAUACUGGAUAUCUUGAGUACGGGAGAGGUGUGUGGAACUCCGAGUGUAGAGGUGAAAUUCGUAGAUAUUCGGAAGAACACCAGUGGCGAAGGCGACACACUGGCCCGUUACUGACGCUGAGGCGCGAAAGCGUGGGGAGCAAACAGG